GAAACCCUUUCAAAGGACUCCUUAGGUUUGUGAGUUACAUCAAGAGGGAAAAAAAAGAAUUAAAAAGGGCUCUAGACAAAAAGACUACACGAUCGUAAUGUGUGAUUUGAAGAAAAAAGUUUGAGGACAGAGCAGCUGGCACCCGCUUACUCUACUGACAGAACGAGAAAACCGGUUAAAACACAGGACACGGGCAGCGCAGUACUGAGAACCUUGACAGAAGCAAAACGAAUGCCGUGAGCCCCGCGGUCCCCCUGGCCUUCCGCCGGCGGCACUGUGCAGGCGGCAGAGCAGAAAGGGGGUUCCCAGCUGAGCGCGACAAUCUGGCUGAAUUGAGGAGACCAAGACCAGAAUUCGAGGGGGAUGAAGUAGCCAGAAUGUUCAUGGUGGAGAAAUGGAAAAGACGAGCUCUAAGGGGGACAUGCAGACAAAGUGCUCCAGAAAUCAACACAGGGGUCUCCCUGAGUUUUGGCUGAAUGCAAAGCUGUGCACUGUACAAAGGGUGGAAGUCCACAAGGCGAGGCCAGAGGAAGUUGUAGGCUGAGCAAGGCAGGAGCUCACCAGGACUGCCAGAGUUGACGUUCCAACCGGUGGGAGUAGAGGAAGAGACCCCAGCAAAGUCAUGUCUGUAAGAAGGGGUGAACUAGCCCUAAGAUACACUUUAACUUUACCCUAAUGAAAUUUAAAAACAAACCUUGAAAGGACCAGACAAUCUGCGAAUAAGUUAACUACCUCCCAGGACAAAGUUUAACACUCUUUGAAAGAAGACAACAUAAUGGAGCACUCAGUGAAAAAGUCUGGCACUCAAUCAUUUCCCAGUCAUUCUUAUUAAAGGACAGGGAUGCUAACCUGGAAAUACUUUUUCAUCUCUUUGGCAAGCAAUUAAUUAAUCUUCAAUCAUAGGAAUGCUCUAUGUUACAAAAUUUCUCAUAUAAAUAUAUCAGGUCAAUUGACUAUAAUAUUUUGGCCUACAAUCUUAUUACUUCUUUCUCCCAGGUAGCCAUAGCCAUAAGGCAUGUGUAAUUUUGCUGUUAUAUAAUUAUCAAUCUGGGAUAAACUUCAGCAUCUUAUGUUCAGUUAAAAUUUAUAGAAUUUAUCUAGAGUCGAUUCAAUGGUCAGAUAUUUGGGCCAGAAUAUGAAGCUUUGGAUUCAUUAACCUUCCUAAGGAAAUCCUGACUGUGCAGGGUUGUAACUGUAUGUGUGUGUGUGUUUCAAUAUGUAACUUUUACUUAAGAAAGAUGCUUGAACUGGGAGCUUAUUUACUUGUGUGUUUCUAAUCAAAAGAGGUCGUAUUUCUCUGGCUAUGGUUAAAAUAAACAUAGGGAAAAUGGAUCUUUUCUCAGGAAAUGGACUGUGAGAAAAGAGUCAGUAGUGAUUAAAUAAUAUUCUUGAGGUCUGUUUGGAGGUCCUUUAAUGACUUCUUCCUUAAUUCUGUAAGUAUGAAUUUAUAAGCAACCAAACAGAUUACAAUCACAAAACUGAUUAUUUUUUAUGGUGGUUUUUGAACUGUCUGGUAUCUGAACUCUCAUCCUCUCUCUUUUGGGGGAAUUCCCUGUAAUCUGAGUCUUAUUGGAAUGUAGAGUAUCUCUCAUGACAGAAACCAGAAAGUUCGGGUAAUUAUCCCCCCACCCCCACCAAUAGCUAGGAUGAAUACACCUAGCCUCAGUUACUUGUCAAAAGCUUAAAUGUGAAGCAAGUGACACAAAGAAAAGUGACAGAAUUUACUCUGGCAGUAGCCACAACACCCAGUUACUACGGUCAGCAGGGCCAGUGGAGCUUGUCAUGGUGCCAACAUCCAGUUCCAGCAGUUGCUUUCCAGCUCUGGCAUCCAGGAUAUAGCAGUUGCUAUGGCACCAUUAUGGCUGAGAUCUAAGUACCUUUUGAUUAAAAUACAGUUGUUUUCCAUUACUUGCAGCUAAGAACCCUGGCUGACUCAUGCAGAGACAUUUGAUUUGGCUUAUAUUGGGGCACAAAUUUUUCUUGCAUGAACAGAUACGUAUGUAUGCUGGAGAACACUAAGGCACAGUCUUCUACUCUCUUUUUCUGCCGAAAAUUACUCCUUCAGAGGUCUCAGCCAGUCCCAAGCCUCUAUCAUCUCUUAAUUGAUGACUCCCAUAUUAUGCCUCAAAUACCUACACCUCUACUGAGGUCCAGACUUGUAUAAAUAAGUGCUUACUCAACAACUUCACUAAGAUGUCCAAAAGACAUCUGCCUUAGAUAGCCAAAACAAAACUGAUUUUUCCCCCCAAAAUCUGAUCCUUCUUCAGUCUUAUGUCAAUUAAUGGCAUCUCUAUUCAUCCAGCAGCUCAGAACAAAACCUUCAGUUACCUUUGAUUCCUCUCCUGUCCUCAGCCUCAACAUCUAUACAUUGGCAAGUCCUCAACUCUCUACCGCAGCAAAUUCUAAUCUCAAUCCUGCCACUUCCCAUCACCUCUCCCCCUUCUUCUUUAGCCACAGAUGUCAUAAAUAUCAACUGGACUACUACAAUAGCUUCCACUUUGCUUUCUGUAAUUCACUCUCUCCAUGUGGCCAGAGAGAUCUUUUUAUAAUGUAAAUCAGAUCAUGCAUUUCUCCUAUUUAAAACUCACUUAAGGCUCUCCUUGCACAAAGAAUAAAAUACAAAGCCUUUACCCUGGCCUACAAGGCCCUACAUAAUCUAGCUUCUACCUUUCACCCCCAUCUCUUACCACACUUUCCCCCAACUGUGUGGCAGCCAGAACUGCCUUCUAUACUUCAUGACCUUAGUGGCCGUAGUUAUGUCUACCUGGAAUUCUCUUUCUCCAGAAUAAGUAUUUCCUUCUCAGUAUUCAAAUAGCAAAUCCUCAGGAAGGCAUUCUGAUCGAAAUUAACUCCCCUCCCCACAUUUGCUAUAUAUAUUCUACUAUUCUGCUUUCCUUUCUUCAGACCGUAUUAUUACCAUUUAAAAUUGCUUUACUUACUCAUUUGAUCUCUAUGUCACCCAACAUACUAUGGAGAGAUACCUGUAUUUUAUACCACUGUAAGUCCAACACUUAAAACAGUUCCCAGCACAUACUGGGUACUCAUUAAAUAUUUGUUGAAUGAA
This is a long non-coding RNA of Manis javanica (Malayan pangolin), 3064 nucleotides long. RefSeq lists it as uncharacterized. The record is from RefSeq and is a predicted model, not a curated record. NCBI's taxonomy places the organism in Eukaryota, Metazoa, Chordata, Mammalia, Pholidota, Manidae.